GACGAACCGUGCGAACGUUAUUCGGAAUCACUGGGCUUAAAGCGCGUGUAGGCGGGACGGCACGUCGGUCGCUGAAAUCCCCCGGCUCAACCGGGGAACGGGCGCCGAUACGACCGUCCUCGAGGGACGUAGGGGGACCUGGAACUUCCGGUGGAGCGGUGAAAUGCGUUGAGAUCGGAAGGAACGCCCGUGGCGAAAGCGAGGUCCUGGACGUUUUCUGACGCUGAGACGCGAAAGCCAGGGGAGCGAACGGG
RNAcentral lists this ribosomal RNA (254 nucleotides) under uncultured bacterium. Its description in RNAcentral is "partial 16S ribosomal RNA". It matches the Rfam family "Bacterial small subunit ribosomal RNA", at positions 524 to 776 of the family's 1533-position model. The record is from RNAcentral.